ACCUUGCUGACGAGUGCAAAGUAGCACGAAACCCAGGUCCAGGGU
Non-coding RNA from Schistosoma mansoni, 45 nucleotides. The record is from Rfam. NCBI's taxonomy places the organism in Eukaryota, Metazoa, Platyhelminthes, Trematoda, Strigeidida, Schistosomatidae.